RNAcentral lists this ribosomal RNA (439 nucleotides) under uncultured bacterium. Its description in RNAcentral is "partial 16S ribosomal RNA". It matches the Rfam family "Bacterial small subunit ribosomal RNA", at positions 339 to 795 of the family's 1533-position model. The record is from RNAcentral.
CUACGGGCUGCUCCAGUGAGGAAUAUUGCACGAUGGGGGGAACCCUGAUGCAGCAACGCCGCGUGGAGGAUGACGCAUUUCGGUGUGUAAACUCCUUUUAUAUGUCAAGAAAAUGACGGUAGCAUAUGAAUAAGCACCGGCUAACUCCGUGCCAGCAGCCGCGGUAAUACGGAGGGUGCAAGCGUUACUCGGAAUCACUGGGCGUAAAGGACGCGUAGGCGGGUUGGAAAGUCAGGUGUGAAAUCCUACAGCUUAACUGUAGAACUGCACUUGAAACUUCUAAUCUAGAGUAUGGGAGGGGGAGAUGGAAUUAGUGGUGUAGGGGUAAAAUCCGUAGAUAUCACUAGGAAUACCUAAAGCGAAGGCGAUCUCCUGGAACAUUACUGACGCUAAGGCGUGAAAGCGUGGGGAGCAAACAGGAUUAGAUACCCGCGUAGUC